AUGAGUGGCGAACGGGUGAGUAACACGUGGGAAACCUACCUCUUAGCAGGGGAUAACAUUUGGAAACAAAUGCUAAUACCGUAUAAUAAUUAAAACCGCAUGGUUUUAGUUUAAAAGAUGGUCUUGCUAUCACUAAGAGAUGGUCCCGCGGUGUAUUAGUUAGUUGGUGAGGUAAUGGCUCACCAAGACAAUGAUACAUAGCCGAGUUGAGAGACUGACCGGCCACAAUGGGACUGAGACACGGCCCAUACUCCUACGGGAGGCAGCAGUAGGGAAUCUUCCACAAUGGACGAAAGUCUGAUGGAGCAACGCCGCGUGUGUGAUGAAGGGUUUCGGCUCGUAAAACACUGUUGUAAGAGAAGAAUGACAUUGAGAGUAACUGUUCAAUGUGUGACGGUAUCUUUACCAGAAAGGAACGGCUAAAUACGUGCCAGCAGCCGCGGUAAUACGUAUGUUCCAAGCGUUAUCCGGAUUUAUUGGGCGUAAAGCGAGCGCAGACGGUUAUUUAAGUCUGAAGUGAAAGCCCUCGGCUCAACCGAGGAAUUGCUUUGGAAACUGGAUAACUUGAGUGCAGUAGAGGAAAGUGGAACUCCAUGUGUAGCGGUGAAAUGCGUAGAUAUAUGGAAGAACACCAGUGGCGAAGGCGGCUUUCUGGACUGUAACUGACGUUGAGGCUCGAAAGUGUGGGUAGCAAACAGGAUUAGAUACCCUGGUAGUCCACACUGUAAACGAUGAGUGCUAGUUGUUCGAGGGUUUCCGCCCUUGAGUGACGAAGCUAACGCAUUAAGCACUCCGCCUGGGGAGUACGACCGCAAGGUUGAAACUCAAAGGAAUUGACGGGGACCCGCACAAGCGGUGGAGCAUGUGGUUUAAUUCGAAGCAACGCGAAGAACCUUACCAGGUCUUGACAUCCUUUGACCACUCCAGAGAUGGAGCUUUCCCUUCGGGGACAAAGUGACAGGUGGUGCAUGGUUGUCGUCAGCUCGUGUCGUGAGAUGUUGGGUUAAGUCCCGCAACGAGCGCAACCCUUAUUGUUAGUUGCCAGCAUUUAGUUGGGCACUCUAGCAAGACUGCCGGUGACAAACCGGAGGAAGGCGGGGAUGACGUCAAAUCAUCAUGCCCCUUAUGACCUGGGCUACACACGUGCUACAAUGGCAAGUACAACGAGUCGCCAACCCGCGAGGGUGCGCAAAUCUCUUAAAGCUUGUCUCAGUUCGGACUGUAGGCUGCAACUCGCCUACACGAAGUCGGAAUCGCUAGUAAUCGCGGAUCAGCACGCCGCGGUGAAUACGUUCCCGGGUCUUGUACACACCGCCCGUCACACCAUGAGAGUUUGUAACACCCAAAGUCGGUGAGGUAACCUU
RNAcentral lists this ribosomal RNA (1364 nucleotides) under Weissella koreensis. RNAcentral's name for it is "16S ribosomal RNA". It matches the Rfam family "Bacterial small subunit ribosomal RNA", at positions 91 to 1442 of the family's 1533-position model. The record is from RNAcentral. Lineage: Bacteria; Bacillati; Bacillota; Bacilli; Lactobacillales; Lactobacillaceae.